This 440-nucleotide ribosomal RNA is filed under the name uncultured bacterium. RNAcentral's name for it is "partial 16S ribosomal RNA". It matches the Rfam family "Bacterial small subunit ribosomal RNA", at positions 339 to 795 of the family's 1533-position model. The record is from RNAcentral.
CUACGGGACGCACCAGCAAGGAAUAUUGGGCAAUGGGCGAAAGCCUGACCCAGCGACACCGCGUGGAGGAAGAAGGCCUUCGGGUUGUAAACUCCUUUUCCCGGGGAAGAAUAAUGACGGUACCCGGGGAAUAAGCCUCGGCUAACUACGUGCCAGCAGCCGCGGUAAUACGUAGGAGGCGAGCGUUAUCCGGAUUUACUGGGCGUAAAGCGGGCGUAGGUGGCCUGUCAAGUCGGAUGUGAAAUCUCCCGGCUUAACUGGGAGGGUGCAUCGGAAACUGAUGGGCUAGAGUACAGCAGAGGGAAGUGGAAUUCCCGGUGUAGUGGUGAAAUGCGUAGAUAUCGGGAGGAACACUAGUGGCGAAGGCGGCUUCCUGGGCUGUUACUGACACUGAGGUCCGAAGGCGUGGGGAGCAAACAGGAUUAGAUACCCCCGUAGUC